UGGCAGCUGGAAGACGGAAUCGUUACUAAGCGCCAGGUAGUCCUGGACACUGAAUCCAAGCGCGUACC
RNAcentral lists this ribosomal RNA (68 nucleotides) under Eimeria legionensis. RNAcentral's name for it is "small subunit ribosomal RNA". Lineage: Eukaryota; Apicomplexa; Conoidasida; Eucoccidiorida; Eimeriidae. The record is from RNAcentral.